AUUUAUAAUAAAAAACAUAAAAAAAAAAGUUAUAACUAAUGACUAUCCAUCGUGUACUAAGUACAACUAUUUAUUUAUGUUUUUGUUUUCUUCUUUUUUUUAUUUUUUGCUUAAUAUGGAUUAAAUUUGUUUUGAAAUUAAUUCAAAAUAAAUACUCUAAAUUUUUUCAGAAAAAUAAAAUUAUUCAGAAAUAUAUUAAUUUUCAUAAUAAAAAUAAUGCAUUACAAAAAAAAUGUUUUAUAUAAAUUAGUUAGCUAUAAACUGGAUGGUAAUAGAUGUCUAAAUAAAAUUUACACAUAUAUCUACAUGUAUAUCGUUAUAUAAAUACAUAUUUAUAUGUUAAUAUGUUAUUAUGUGUUUGUACAUUAUCUAUACAUUAUCAUCUGUACAUUAUCUGCACAUUUUUUUUUUUUUUUUUUUUUUUUUUUUCCACUUUCAGAUAAAAAUAUUUAUAAACAAACCCCAUGUAGGAACCAUGUCUCCUUUUACUAUUUGAAAAGGACAAUUUUUUUUUUGCAUAAUUCUAAAUUUAUGCCCAUAAAACAGAGAUUAAAUGAAUUUUUUAUUCAAAAUGAUAUAACUGAUAUAAGGAAUUUUACACACUUGACAUAUGAGAAAGUUAUCCAAUUUAAAAAAGACAUGAGUAUUUGCUUAAUAGAGGCAUAUAAUUCUUUUGAUUAUAAAAAUAGAAAAGAACUUUUAUAUAUAUAUUUUAAAUUGUAUUCAAAACUUUAUUUUUUGUUUAAAAAUGAAAAUACUUAUUUUUUCCAUUUUUUAACAAAUAUCAUAUUAGUCUCAUGGGUCUACACCCCUUUCAAUGUUAUUUUUUAUUAUAAGGAAAAAAAAAAAAAUGAAUAAAUAAUAGUACCAGGUAAAAUAAUUUAAAUACAAAUAAAGUGGUAAUAAAUAAAGCA
This 914-nucleotide long non-coding RNA is filed under the name Piliocolobus tephrosceles (Ugandan red Colobus). Its description in RNAcentral is "lncRNA (ENSPTEG00000001090.1)". The record is from RNAcentral. Lineage: Eukaryota; Metazoa; Chordata; Mammalia; Primates; Cercopithecidae.